CCGCUGGCGGCAGGCCUAACACAUGCAAGUCGAGCGGAAACGAGUUAUCAGAACCUUCGGGGGACGAUAACGGCGUCGAGCGGCGGACGGGUGAGUAAUGCCUAGGAAAUUGCCCUGAUGUGGGGGAUAACCAUUGGAAACGAUGGCUAAUACCGCAUGAUGCCUACGGGCCAAAGAGGGGGACCUUCGGGCCUCUCGCGUCAGGAUAUGCCUAGGUGGGAUUAGCUAGUUGGUGAGGUAAGGGCUCACCAAGGCGACGAUCCCUAGCUGGUCUGAGAGGAUGAUCAGCCACACUGGAACUGAGACACGGUCCAGACUCCUACGGGAGGCAGCAGUGGGGAAUAUUGCACAAUGGGCGCAAGCCUGAUGCAGCCAUGCCGCGUGUAUGAAGAAGGCCUUCGGGUUGUAAAGUACUUUCAGUCGUGAGGAAGGUAGUGUAGUUAAUAGCUGCAUUAUUUGACGUUAGCGACAGAAGAAGCACCGGCUAACUCCGUGCCAGCAGCCGCGGUAAUACGGAGGGUGCGAGCGUUAAUCGGAAUUACUGGGCGUAAAGCGCAUGCAGGUGGUUUGUUAAGUCAGAUGUGAAAGCCCGGGGCUCAACCUCGGAAUAGCAUUUGAAACUGGCAGACUAGAGUACUGUAGAGGGGGGUAGAAUUUCAGGUGUAGCGGUGAAAUGCGUAGAGAUCUGAAGGAAUACCGGUGGCGAAGGCGGCCCCCUGGACAGAUACUGACACUCAGAUGCGAAAGCGUGGGGAGCAAACAGGAUUAGAUACCCUGGUAGUCCACGCCGUAAACGAUGUCUACUUGGAGGUUGUGGCCUUGAGCCGUGGCUUUCGGAGCUAACGCGUUAAGUAGACCGCCUGGGGAGUACGGUCGCAAGAUUAAAACUCAAAUGAAUUGACGGGGGCCCGCACAAGCGGUGGAGCAUGUGGUUUAAUUCGAUGCAACGCGAAGAACCUUACCUACUCUUGACAUCCAGAGAACUUUCCAGAGAUGGAUUGGUGCCUUCGGGAACUCUGAGACAGGUGCUGCAUGGCUGUCGUCAGCUCGUGUUGUGAAAUGUUGGGUUAAGUCCCGCAACGAGCGCAACCCUUAUCCUUGUUUGCCAGCGAGUAAUGUCGGGAACUCCAGGGAGACUGCCGGUGAUAAACCGGAGGAAGGUGGGGACGACGUCAAGUCAUCAUGGCCCUUACGAGUAGGGCUACACACGUGCUACAAUGGCGCAUACAGAGGGCAGCCAACUUGCGAAAGUGAGCGAAUCCCAAAAAGUGCGUCGUAGUCCGGAUUGGAGUCUGCAACUCGACUCCAUGAAGUCGGAAUCGCUAGUAAUCGUGGAUCAGAAUGCCACGGUGAAUACGUUCCCGGGCCUUGUACACACCGCCCGUCACACCAUGGGAGUGGGCUGCAAAAGAAGUAGGUAGUUUAACCUUCGGGGGGACGCUUACCACUUUGUGGUUCAU
Molecule: ribosomal RNA, 1460 nt
Filed under: Vibrio sp. ZJ2306
Lineage: Bacteria; Pseudomonadati; Pseudomonadota; Gammaproteobacteria; Vibrionales; Vibrionaceae
Description: bacterial SSU rRNA
Rfam family: Bacterial small subunit ribosomal RNA
Source: RNAcentral